Small nuclear RNA from Oncorhynchus kisutch (coho salmon), 128 nucleotides. Its record names the gene U2. It matches the Rfam family "U2 spliceosomal RNA". Rfam says of the family: U2 is a small nuclear RNA (snRNA) component of the spliceosome (involved in pre-mRNA splicing). The record is from Ensembl. NCBI's taxonomy places the organism in Eukaryota, Metazoa, Chordata, Actinopteri, Salmoniformes, Salmonidae.
AUGGAUUUUCAAAAUGUAGACCAUAUAUUAAAUAGAUUUUUGGAAUAGGGAGAUGGAAUAGGGGCUUGCUCCGUCCACUCCACGCAUCGACCUGGUAUUGCAGUACCUCCAGGAACGGUGCACCCCCU